CCUACGGGGUGCUGCAGUGGGGAAUAUUGCACAAUGGGGGAAACCCUGAUGCAGCGACGCCGCGUGAAGGAAGAAGUUUUUCGGUAUGUAAACUUCUAUCAGCAGGGAAGAAAAGGACGGUACCUGACUAAGAAGCCCCGUCUAACUACGUGCCAGCAGCCGCGGGAAUACGUAGGGGGCAAGCGUUAUCCGGAUUUACUGGGUGUAAUGGGAGCGUAGGCGGUUUAGCAAGUCAGAAGUGAAAGCCCUGGGCUCAACUCCGGGACUGCUGUUGAAACUGUUGAACUAGAUUGCAGGAGAGGUAAGUGGAAUUCCUAGUGUAGCGGUGAAAUGCGUAGAUAUUAGGAGGAACACCAGUGGCGAAGGCGGCUUACUGGACUGUAAAUGACGCUGAGGCUCGAAAGCGUGGGGAGCAAACAGGAUUAGAUACCCCAGUAGUC
RNAcentral lists this ribosomal RNA (440 nucleotides) under uncultured bacterium. Its description in RNAcentral is "partial 16S ribosomal RNA". It matches the Rfam family "Bacterial small subunit ribosomal RNA", at positions 338 to 795 of the family's 1533-position model. The record is from RNAcentral.